GGCUUGGUGUUGACCCCUGCGCGCUGACCUGAGAACUCUGGGCUCUGAGCUGUGAUGCUGCUCUGAGUUGGGAUCUCUCGGGUGAUGGUUCAGGUUGGGGCCUCUGGGAUCCGAG
RNAcentral lists this microRNA precursor (115 nucleotides) under Myotis lucifugus (little brown bat). RNAcentral describes it as "miRNA (ENSMLUG00000027181.1)". The record is from RNAcentral. Lineage: Eukaryota; Metazoa; Chordata; Mammalia; Chiroptera; Vespertilionidae.